AGGACGAACGCUGGCGGCGUGCUUAACACAUGCAAGUCGAGCGGAAAGGCCUUUCGGGGUACUCGAGCGGCGAACGGGUGAGUAACACGUGAGUAAUCUGCCCAUCGCUUCAGGAUAGCCACCGGAAACGGUGAUUAAUACUGGAUAUGACAUUCCUUCGCAUGUUGGGGUGUGGAAAGUUUUUUCGGCGGUGGAUGUGCUCGCGGCCUAUCAGCUUGUUGGUGGGGUAAUGGCCUACCAAGGCUUUGACGGGUAGCCGGCCUGAGAGGGUGACCGGCCACACUGGGACUGAGACACGGCCCAGACUCCUACGGGAGCAGCAGUGGGAAUAUGGACAAUGGGCGAAGCCUGAUCCAGCAACGCCGCGUGAGGAUGACGGCCGUUCGGUUCGUAACCUCUUUCAGCACAGACGAAGUUUGUCUUUUUUGGUGUAAGUGACGGUAUGUGCAGAAGAAGACCGGCAACUACGUGCCAGCAGCCGC
This 482-nucleotide ribosomal RNA is filed under the name uncultured soil bacterium. RNAcentral's name for it is "bacterial SSU rRNA". It matches the Rfam family "Bacterial small subunit ribosomal RNA", at positions 26 to 518 of the family's 1533-position model. The record is from RNAcentral.